GUCGCUCUGUGCUGUUGGUCAGUUGAGCCAUUAUGCCCUUGAGCUUAAUUUCGUACCCUGGGAACUGGGUUGAUCGCGGUUGUUGUGCAUGUCCGCCACGGCGGAAAGCCUGAUAUCGUUCACCUACUCCCACUUGAACUCUCCCAGUUCAAGGUCGGUUUUCAGCGACGGCAGUUACGGAGCGAUU
Molecule: non-coding RNA, 187 nt
Filed under: Gammaproteobacteria bacterium
Lineage: Bacteria; Pseudomonadati; Pseudomonadota; Gammaproteobacteria
Description: 6S RNA
Rfam family: 6S / SsrS RNA
About the family: E. coli 6S RNA was the first non coding RNA to be sequenced, but its function was unknown until recently. It consists of 184 nucleotides that fold into an extended hairpin structure with a large single-stranded internal bulge.
Source: RNAcentral